CCACAUGCUGAAAGUCAGAGCUCAGACUCACACUGCCCGCCCCCGCGCAGGACACUAACGACUUGGGAAUCACUAGGAGCAGAGCCUGGCAUGUGCGGGAGCCACCCUAAGAGAAACCGUCCCAGAAGAGAGGUGCUAACUAGGUGAAGACAUAUGACUCUGAGCUCCACUUCCUGAUUCUAAUGGAGGGAGAGUCUGGCAUGGAGCCAGGAAGCAGAAAAGGCAUGAAAGGAAGAACUAAUUUGGAGCUGGCGCAAACAGUCCAAUGCAGAUGUGCCAGGCGGGCACCAACUUCCUCAAUGAGGGCGUGUUCUCCACGUCAACCGGCAGAUCACAAAAGCAACUGCAGCUCCUUGGAACUUUCCACCACAGAUGGGCGAUGGUGACCCCAGGUGACAUCUGACUGCGAUGACAAAGUGACUUGGGUUGAGAGAUUAGAAUCUCUAACUGCCUUGCGGUUUCAGAAGGCAAAAGGAGACAGACCUAAAAGAGGGGUGAGAGCUUAAAAAUUCAGGGUGAAUCGCUCCAGGACGAUAGACUUGUCUGGUGGGUCAUUCGUGUGGCUUCCUGAGGAAAAGCUUUUCAAGCCCCAGUUUGAUACCGUUGAAAUGGGCUGUGGAAACACAGGAAGCCCAUCCCUCAACCGAGCAGCUCACUGGCAACUGCUUCCAGAUGGAGUGGCGGUUCACCCCGUGAGGGCAGACAGACAGCGAAGGGAAAGCGGCCAGCUGACACCGAUGUGGAAGACUGUGGCAUUAUAAAAACUGUAUUCUCUCUUAAAGGCGUGCACAGGGCAGAUGAGCCCUGAGUCACAGCUUAUACCUGAUGGGAUAACACUGUGUUCCUGCCAAAACACUCAUUCUCUCACUCCGUAAUCGGACGCCGGGCACCCCUUCCUUCUCCUUGGCACUUCCCGCCAUUCCGACGAGGAACUUCAUUGCGGGGACACUGUGUGCUUUUCAGCGUGUCCCACAUGGCCAGAAGGCAAGGCUAGGAAUCGUUGGAAAUAUUUGUAGAUAAAGAGGCC
This is a long non-coding RNA of Bos indicus x Bos taurus (hybrid cattle), 1027 nucleotides long. NCBI's taxonomy places the organism in Eukaryota, Metazoa, Chordata, Mammalia, Artiodactyla, Bovidae. The record is from Ensembl.